RNAcentral lists this ribosomal RNA (707 nucleotides) under uncultured Acidaminococcus sp. Its description in RNAcentral is "bacterial SSU rRNA". It matches the Rfam family "Bacterial small subunit ribosomal RNA", at positions 63 to 749 of the family's 1533-position model. Lineage: Bacteria; Bacillati; Bacillota; Negativicutes; Acidaminococcales; Acidaminococcaceae. The record is from RNAcentral.
CGGACGGAGGAUUUAUUUCGGUGAUUCUUACUGGCGAACGGGUGAGUAACGCGUAGGCAACCUGCCCUUUGGAUGGGGACAACAUUCCGAAAGGAGUGCUAAUACCGAAUGUGAUCCAUUUCUCGCAUGAGAGAUGGAUGAAAGAUGGCCUCUAUUUAUAAGCUAUCGCCAAAGGAUGGGCCUGCGUCUGAUUAGUUAGUUGGUGGGGUAACGGCUCACCAAUACGAUGAUCAGUAGCCGGGCUGAGAGGAUGAAGGGCCACAUUGGGACUGAGACACGGCCCAAACUCCUACGGGAGGCAGCAGUGGGGAAUCUUCCGCAAUGGACGAAAGUCUGACGGAGCAACGCCGCGUGAGUGAUGAAGGUUUUCGGACUGUAAAACUCUGUUGUCAGGGACGAAGGUGCGAUCUGCGAAUAGUUGAUCGUAUUGACGGUACCUGACGAGGAAGCCACGGCUAACUACGUGCCAGCAGCCGCGGUAAUACGUAGGUGGCAAGCGUUGUCCGGAAUUAUUGGGCGUAAAGAGCAUGUAGGUGGGCUUUUAAGUCCGAUGUGAAAAUGCGGGGCUCAACCCCGUAUGGCAUUGGAUACUGGAAGUCUUGAGUGCAGGAGAGGAAAGGGGAAUUCCCAGUGUAGCGGUGAAAUGCGUAGAUAUUGGGAGGAACACCAGUGGCGAAGGCGCCUUUCUGGACUGUGUCUGACACUGA